Molecule: non-coding RNA, 135 nt
Organism: Triticum urartu
Lineage: Eukaryota; Viridiplantae; Streptophyta; Magnoliopsida; Poales; Poaceae
Source: Rfam
UUACUACUCCCUCCGUCCAAAAAUACUUGUCAUCUAAAUGAAUAAAAAGAGAUGUAUCUAGAACUAAAAUAUGUCUAGAUACAUCCCCUUUUAUCCAUUUUGAUGACAAGUAUUUCCGUACAGAGGAAGUAUUUA